CUCUCCGAGCACAUCGUCCUCACCUCCACCAUCCUCUCCUACCUCCCACCCCAUCGCCGCCCCACCCACCUUCUCCGUGGCUCCCGUCGACGCCUCACCCUCCACCUUCUCCGCGGCUGCCACCAGCGCCUAGCCCCCUACCUUAUCUUCGGCUCCAGCCGGCGCCUUGCCCUCCACCUUCUCCGCGGCUCCCGCCGUACCUAGCCCCUUGCCUUAUCUCUAGCUCUCGCCGGCGCCUCACCCCCACCAUCUCCCCGGCCCCCACCGAUGCCUCGCCCCCAACCUUCUCUGCAGCCCCUGCCAGUGCCUCGCCCUCACCUACUCACCAGGUCCCAUGUGAUGCUCUCCUCCAUGCUGCCGUCCUCCCCAUUUCUAAACUACCGCUAGCCACCGGCUUGAUCUUCACCAGAGUCACCAUGCCCCCUGUUCUCCACUACCAUCCGUGGCCGCACUAUCCUGUUGACAUCCUCUGCUACCUCCGCCUAGGCGACACCACCAUUAGCUCCUCCCGCUGGUAUCCUCCUCUGCACCAAGUUGCUGCGGUUUGCAUCCAGUGAAAAAGCUAUUCGGCAAGUGCACUGUAGCAGGUAGCUAGAAACGAAGAUGAAGCUUCUUUGGUAUGUUACUGACCUUGUGCACCUACUGAACUUCAGUGGCUAUUUUUGUUGAACUUGAAUGUGUUGUGGUAUUAUUGAAGUGUAGAACUUGUAUUAUGGCUGAUUCUAAAUUGAUGUUGGUUGCAUUUGUGAUGUUUUUGCUUGUGCCAAAAAAACUGGUGACUUGUUUUGCUUAUGCCGAUCCCACAGUCGCUGCCGUCUGCGCCCCACAUCCCCGAGCCACCCGUCGUCGGCUCCUGCUACGCAGAGAUCCAACAAAGAUAUAUUUUGGGUAAUUUUUGGUCAGUUAAUAUUUCGGCGACGUGCUAAGUUUAGUUUCUUAAUUUACUUCAGUGCAAUUUCUUACUUUUGGUUGGGCUCAAAUUCUUAUUUCAGUUUAGUUCAGUUUAGCAAGAAGAAUAUCUUUGUUGUAACUUGUCUUGGAUUUAUUAGUGUCAUACUUUCCUACAAAGCGAAAGCAUAAUGUUGUUUCACGUCAUAAGGUUUUCUCUGAAACAUAGCGGACAUAAGAUAAUGAAGCAAUAUAAACUCUACUGUCUCAUCAAGAUCUUAUCAUGAUACUUAUUUGAGCAAUUCAUCCAUUUUGUUGGGGUUCAACCUACCGGUUCCAGUAUUCAAGUUUAUUUAGCUUCUGACUUCAAAUUCUGAACAUCUUAUGUUACUUGUGCAUACAAGGGGGAAACUGAUUCUGAACAUCUUGCGAGGCUCCCUGCUGGAUAUCGGCGCUAGAGGGGAGCGGACACCGUCGUUGCCCCGCGCCCAUAGACUUCUCUUCUGCACUUUCCUCUUAAACAUUCACACGGAAAGAAUAGAGCUACUCCGUACAAAUUGUGCGUCGGUGUCAGAACAUGUUAUACUAAUUAGUAAGUUCAAGAACUAUGUUCCAAAUUGAGCUUAGACAAGGAGACAGGGAUAUAUUGACAGAAUGUUGUGUUGUGUGCUGUUAGUUCAGGGGGAAAAAGCAGAGACUCGUCAUGGGUUAUGAAGUAGACAGAGUACAUAAGAUGCCUACCGUGGUCUAUGAAGUACAUGCAAAAAGAUGCCACUCGCUGCCGGCGCUCUCUUGUCGUGACGAACAGGCCAAGCAAGGUGACUACGUGAGAAGGGUCAACAUUAGCGGGAGUAGGGUAUGGAUGAGGAAGAGCAGCAGUAUCUUCACUGCUGCUGCUGAUUUGUUUCCAUCCAAUUAGUUGACCAUCUCAGUACAACUAUUAUUGGGUGUGCCAAAACUAGAUGCUUUACUGCCUUAUUAUUAUCACUAGUGCUUUGUUUUCAUAUUGCUCCUUCAGUCCAACCUGACCCUGCAUCCCACUCAGCCAUCCGGUCUGACAUCAUCUUCGUAUUCUUCGACUCCUCUCACUCCACAAGAUUUUUGCCCAUUUUUCAGUUCUACACUAAUGUUGCUUCUAAUGGGUGUAUGUGUGAUUAUUGGUCCGUGCUUGUCUUAGUGGGCGCUAGGAGGAAACUUUAGAAAAAAAAUGUGUUAAUGGAGAUGCAUGGGAGUUGUGCCUCUUAGGUGUUUUCUUUUAUAACUGACGACACCAAGGUGGGGGGAAAUUUUGUUCGUCAGUUGUACGGAAUUAUUCAUCGUUCAUCAGUUGCUUAGAGGAUGGUUUCCUUGGAGAAACAUCUCUACUGAAUUAGGUGUUGAAAAUGUUUUCUUGUGAAUGUUUCAGUGGGGGCUCAGUUACUGCUCUAAAUCAAACAAUUUGGAGGAGCAAUGCAUGAGAAACAAGUCUCCCAACGAUGACAAGGGUACGACCGGCGACAACGAGUAGGUGGCACGUGUACCAUAGCGAUGAGACUGAGGUAUGAAGCAGAUGUGCAUGGUGAGCUCUCGUUUCAUAAGUUCAAGUGCUUACCCCCUAUAAAGUUCAGAGAAAAAACAUUAUGUUGCUUAUUGCUCGGUCCUAUAAGGAGCGAGCGAAGGAAUUCCCACCUAAUCUACCUUGUUCUGCAACACCAGCCCGCCACCGCGACCUCUCCUCUUACAACGCGCCGCCGGGGCCUCCCCCUUUCCCAGUGCGCCACCGGGGCCUCCCCCUUCCCGCAGCACGCCGCCAUGGCCUCCCCUCUUCCCCUGCGCGCCGCCCUGCCCCCACCUUCUCCCUCCGCUUCGGCCACUGCUCCCCACCUUCUCCCUCGGCUCCGGCCGCCGCUCCCCACCUUCUCCCUCGGCUUCGUCCGCCACCCCGCACUCCAAUCCAUGGAUUGAGCCGUCGAGGUUGCCCUACCCCAGAUCGCGCCGCCCAGGACCAUCCGUCGCCACCACGACCGCCUGAACCAAGUUCUCCCGCGCUGCCGCUAUCUUUCCUUACUCCGCCGCAAGCCGAGCACCUCCUCACCUCCAUUGCUGUUCAGCACAUCCUCCAGUUCCUCCCAUGGUGGAUGUGCUUGUCCACUCCUACCGCUGGCCGAUCUCACUCCAAUCCCUCCACAAUGCUACCUCCUCUCGCCGGUGGGGCUCCGUCGCUGCAGCGCCCCGGCCGUUCAGUGCGGCCACCAUGAGCCGUUCGACGAGACAACGUCAAGCCGUUCAAUGUCGUAGCUCAGGACGGUGCCUACUUUCCCUCGCUGGAUCCGCCAUAGCCGCGCCCUUCCACCAUCGCUGACGCCUCCUUCCAAGCUUCCAUGGCACCCCGCAGCCACCCAAUGACGGCUCCCUGUGGGCACAACUUGCUGCCGAUGACCUCUUUUCACAGCUCACCUCUGAGGCCCACUAGACCCACACGACGACGCUGGCCGUCCACAACCACCACCCCAGGCCGUUCACAGCAACCACUCCUAGCCGAUCUCAAAACCACCGCAAAGUGCAGACCAUACAGGAGGACAGGGCUGAUGUAUGUUCUUGCCUGUGUCAACUGAUUUGUGCCAGACUUUCACCAAAAAAUGACCUCAGUCCUCAGCUCUAACAUGGCAAUAAUUUUCAGUUGCACGAGGAGGCAGCAAGAAAGAGCUAAGCGAUCCAAUAGAGUUUAUUGAUUGAAGAUGUUCACCUUUUGUGUGAUUUUCAGUUCACAUUUGCCAUGAUAUUCAGUUUAGCCGGCUUACUAUUUCAUCACCAGGUAAACUAAAAGCUCUGUGUCUGAUAGAAUAUCUCAUGUUAUAACUUAUAAAUUUGUCUAGAUGCAAGGAACAAAUCUCGGACCAACUUUUGCUUCAUUGAUAUAAAUCAUGCUGUGUUUUGUCGACAACAUGGUAGGCUUUUUCAGUUCAUUGUAGGUUGUUUACUUUCUCUCUUUGCUUAGCACAAAAUUUCGCAAAUGCCUAGCACAAAUAAAACUUGUUUGAUACAUGGGUAGGUUCACGAAAACUUGUAGUAGUAGUUCGUUGAAAGGAUUCACAUUAGUUCAAACAUUUUUGAAUGUUCAGUAAAAGUUCAAAUAGACUAGAGGCUUUCAACUCAUCCGAAAAAGCCUAAAGCAACAGUACAAUGCUAGAAAAAAUCAGUUCAAAAAAAUAUGUUGGGAGGUUUGUCGGAAUGAGAGAAAAACAUUAGUUCAAUUUUUCCGUACCAUCACUUUUAUUGCUAAAUGAUUUAGACACUUGUUUUCUUGAUGCCAUUAGGUAUUUAGUUAAGUACUUCAGCUCAACAAAAAGCUCCAGAAAAUUUCAGAGUUUGUUUUUAGAAAAGCUCCAUGGUGUUUCUUCGGCUACAACAUCCAUGCAUCCAAGUCGAGCUCUGGCCGCAGUCCAAGUGGAACUGCGACCACCAUCUUCACCCAGCGCUGCACCCAUUGAGCACCCACACACACGAGGGAGGCUGGAGCGACUGCAGACCGGUGACGAGAACCACUUCAGUUCUGCUAUUCGUGUAUUGGAAGUACGUAUCCUCUAUCCAUGCAGGAGGUAGAUGUAAUUUCUCCCCGAAUACCACCUAUUUUGGAAGUAGCCUGAGACUCAUCAUGUCCUAUAUACAGAUUCAGAGUAUAAUACAUCAAUGGAAGUUUGUUCUAAAAAUUGGAAUUGUUCUGGAUCUACUAAUAGAUUAGUUGUUAAGUAUUGGAGUGUUUCGUUCUUGUUUUGGCAAAUGGAAAUAUAUAAGACAAAUGUACUGUUAGAUUCAGAACGAACCAGUACACCAAACAGAAAAAAGCAAAAUAAAAAACUCACUCCAGGCCAUCUCCACCAAAUCCGAAGCGUGUCAACCCCCGACACAAUGCCCGCCACCACCCUCGGGCAAACCUUCCACCACCUCCACCGUCGCCCCACUCCACCUCCCGUCCACACGCCCGUCGCCAUGCUCCUCCUUGCUGUUCAAAUUCAUGUUUUGGUUAGGUCCAAAGAAACUCGUAAUUUUGAUUAAUGAUGAAUUGUGUUUUCUCGUAGAAAAAUGAUGCUCUGUGGGUGGUUUAGCAGUUCGCCAUGUAUAUCUACCAUUACUCUGUAAAAGUACAAGUAUGUACUGAUGCUAAAAAUGAUGCUCUGUAGAAUUUCUUCUUAUCUAGUUCGAAUUUGGUCUACUUGAGUAAUUCUGUUAGUUCAUGACAAGUAUGUAUUGAUGCUAGAAAUGUAUGUCAUUUGUGAAUCAUGCUUUUUUCAGAGAGGAAAAGAGUUUGUAGUUGCAUCACAUGGUGUACUGAGCAACAUAAACAUGGUUUCUUUCUUAAAUUAGUUAUUUUUGGUUAAUUCGUUUACGUGGACAGUACAAAUGCACAUUGUUGUGUAGUACAUGUGUGUAUUGUGAAUGUAAUUUCGGUUUUUAGUUAACAAAAAAAUAACAAAAAGUUUCAUAAAAGAACCCAAAACAUCCGAUAGUCCUGGAAGUCCAAAUUUCAGUACAUCAUGUUUUCUAUCAUCAGCUCAUUAAGAACCCAUAAACAAUUCAAUGUGUGUGUUCAAAAUGGGAAGCACGGUUCAUAGGGAUGUUGUCCAUCAUCACUGAUUGAUUAAAGCACACGCGCGCGCACACACACACAUGCUACCAGAUAGUGCUAUUAAAAAGGUGAAUUUGUUCCUUGCAUGGAUGAACCAGUGACACUACUCUUGCAUAGAAAUUUUCCUUUUGCAAAAAGUAGUUCUGACAAAAAGAAGCAAAAGUCAUGUUUAUCUGGUUGCAAAAAUGAUGCUUGAUAGGUGUUACCAUGUAUAUAUAAUUCGCUUUAUAAUCUUUUUGCAAAAAGUAGUUCAGACAAAAAGAAGCAAAAGUCAUGUUUAUCUGGUUGCAAAAAUGAUGCUUGAUAGGUGUUACCAUGUAAAAUUAUAAGAACUGUAGUGGCAUUUGUCCAGCACACAAACAGAGUGUGAGGUACCAAAGAACGUCAGGCAUGAGGAUUUUGGAAGAAAUGACAGAGGUACACACAGCUGUGAGACUUGGUGCAUUUUUAAAUAGAUUUCUCUGGAAGAACUCUCUGUUUGCUUUAUUAUCUUUUACCAUGUACAUAUAAUUCGCUUUAUAAUUUGUUGCUUGUGUACAAAUGACUUGCAUCUGGUGUACAAACAAAUCUAUUUUCAAUUUCAGAAAGUUCGAAAAGAGUAGUCUUGGAAGUACAAGGGCAAAAGUUACUGGGUUCAACAAAAACGAAAAUGUUAGUUUCUCUUUUAUGUGAUUUUCAGUUCUUCCCCACGCUCUUUUGUUAUGCUCUGGCGAAAAAAUGACUAAAGUUAUAGAAAAAAAAGUACAAACUUUUAAAAAAGUUUAUUUUUUGAACUUCUCCCAAUUAAUAUACUGAACUUGAUUAUCUUUUUAAUAGUACUUGCAUCAGCUCGACGGAAUUGGUGUGUGUGCUUGUAACACAAUCAGUUCAGAUCUCGAGAGACAUAAGUUUGUUGACAAAUAUGUAUAUUAGUUCAUAUCUCAAGAGUCCAUAAUUUUGUAAGGCCAGAAAAUGCAAUGGCUUAGUACAUCACAGCAGCUCUCGGAUGCAGAAAGGAUGGCUCUUCCCAAGUCAGCAGCUAACCAAACUGACAACUUCAGGGUAGCUCAGUCAAUAUAGGAGCUGUGCAGUAAACAGCUUCAGUCGAGAAAUCAGCAAGUUAUAAUGCAUAGUGUCUUCCAGGCACCUGUUUGUUGUUUCCUAAUCACCCUAAUUCCUAAAAUAUUCUACUCAACUUCAGCGCCAUGCUCAGUCCAACCACAUGGCUUCAGGGUGCCCGAGUUCGUCGCCACCAACAGUUCGGAGACUCUGCCACUGUUUGUGUCACGACCAUGGCCACCUGUGUCACUGUGUGCUCUGUCAACAACCUCCUGCGCAAGGAAAAGCAACAGCAGUAGAGCCGUCUGAGAUGCUCUUUGUAAUACUUUGGCCGCAAUGUACUUGUGUAUCUUUUUCUAAAUGGAGCACAACCAGAGAUUAUGUCAUUAUGAACUUUGAUUGUGAUGGUACUACAAACUCUAUAAAAACACCAGUAAUCCAUUUUUACUGUUACUUAUCUUUUAUACAAUUCAUAUGGAUUGUGCUCCCUAUUA
RNA transcript from Triticum dicoccoides, 7026 nucleotides. RefSeq lists it as uncharacterized. Lineage: Eukaryota; Viridiplantae; Streptophyta; Magnoliopsida; Poales; Poaceae. The record is from RefSeq and is a predicted model, not a curated record. The transcript has 4 exons.